RNAcentral lists this long non-coding RNA (573 nucleotides) under Manihot esculenta (cassava). RNAcentral's name for it is "long non-coding RNA (MESC_LNC002312)". Lineage: Eukaryota; Viridiplantae; Streptophyta; Magnoliopsida; Malpighiales; Euphorbiaceae. The record is from RNAcentral.
UCCACACUAACUAAUACAUACACGUGACUUCAUUACUCUUGUAAACCUCCUGGUCUACCCUGUACCUGCAAUCCUGGGGAAAUUGGGAGAGGGGUGAGCUACUAGAGCCCAGUGAGCAGAAUAAUACAACACUUAAAACAUAUGAUAACAUGAAAUGCAUCACAUCACAGCUAAUCACAUCAAGGAUGAACUUGUCACCAAUAGCCCUCUACAUGGUCCAACUGUGCCAGAACGUAGAAUGGGUCCUGGUCUUUCCCUUACAUAUCAUAACAUAACAGUGUCCAACUGUGCCAGAACGUAGAAUAGGUCCUGGUCUUUCCCUUACAUAGUGCCAGCGAACGUAGAAUGGGUCCCACUGGUCUUACUUUCCGUACCGUCAUAUCAUAUCGUCAUAUCAUAGAUCGAGGGCUAUGGAUCAUUCAACAUUCAUCCACAUCAACAUUAAAAUGUGCAAUGCAACAUAUUCGUGAAUUCUAAUGCAAGCAACCUAAUUCAUCACAUGGCAUUCAUGAUGCAUGAACAAUGCUCAAAACUUUGAAAUUUAUUUACUUUAAACGUAAAGGUUUAUUCCAC